GUCCGUUUACUAGAUCCGGAAAAAAACACCGGCGAUAAUAACUUGUCUGGUUCAACCGAAUUCUGAGCGAGACAAGUGCCAUAGAUAAAAUAUGGUUUUUGUAUUUCUCUGAAAAAAAUUUCGAAAAGUGGACUUGUCUUGUGGUUGCAUUGAACCCUUCAAUUUGAGAGAGAAUAAAAAUGAUUUUAACAUAAAAAGAAAUCAUUUUUUUUUUUUUUUUUACAUUACAUAUAGUAUAUAAUACAGGUAUUUAAUAUUUGUACUCGAUUUAAAUUUUUUUUCAAUAAUACACGUGUUUAAAAUAUUUUUUACAGGAC
This is a non-coding RNA of Cinara cedri, 317 nucleotides long. Lineage: Eukaryota; Metazoa; Arthropoda; Insecta; Hemiptera; Aphididae. The record is from the annotation of a GenBank genome assembly.